RNAcentral lists this ribosomal RNA (253 nucleotides) under uncultured bacterium. RNAcentral describes it as "partial 16S ribosomal RNA". It matches the Rfam family "Bacterial small subunit ribosomal RNA", at positions 524 to 776 of the family's 1533-position model. The record is from RNAcentral.
UACAGAGGGUGCGAGCGUUAAUCGGAGUUACUGGGCGUAAAGGGCGCGUAGGCGGCGCUGCAAGUGGGACGUGAAAUCCCCGGGCUUAACCUGGGAACUGCGUCCCAUACUGCAGUGCUAGAGUACUGUAGAGGGCGGUGGAAUUUCCGGUGUAGCGGUGAAAUGCGUAGAGAUCGGAAGGAACACCAGUGGCGAAGGCGGCCGCCUGGACAGAUACUGACGCUGAGGCGCGAGAGCGUGGGGAGCAAACAGG